AAAAAUAUGUUGCUUUAAUGUUGCAAGGAAUUCACGAACACCUCCACUAUUGAUGUAUAGAGGAGGAAAUGCAAGUCCUGCAGAAGAUUACAGAACAAUAAUUAUAUAAUA
Long non-coding RNA from Telopea speciosissima, 111 nucleotides. RefSeq lists it as uncharacterized. The record is from RefSeq and is a predicted model, not a curated record. NCBI's taxonomy places the organism in Eukaryota, Viridiplantae, Streptophyta, Magnoliopsida, Proteales, Proteaceae. The transcript is spliced from 3 exons.